Molecule: ribosomal RNA, 253 nt
Filed under: uncultured bacterium
Lineage: Bacteria
Description: partial 16S ribosomal RNA
Rfam family: Bacterial small subunit ribosomal RNA
Source: RNAcentral
UACGUAGGGGGCUAGCGUUGUCCGGAUUUAUUGGGCGUAAAGAGCGCGUAGGCGGCCUGCUAAGUCGAACGUGAAAUCCCCGAGCUCAACUCGGGAACUGCGUCCGAUACUGGCAGGCUUGAAUCCGGGAGAGGGAUGCGGAAUUCCAGGUGUAGCGGUGAAAUGCGUAGAUAUCUGGAGGAACACCGGUGGCGAAGGCGGCAUCCUGGACCGGCAUUGACGCUGAGGCGCGAAAGCCAGGGGAGCAAACGGG